Molecule: ribosomal RNA, 698 nt
Filed under: uncultured bacterium
Lineage: Bacteria
Description: bacterial SSU rRNA
Rfam family: Bacterial small subunit ribosomal RNA
Source: RNAcentral
UAACACGUGANCAANCUGCCCUAUACAACGGGAUAACACAGAGAAAUUUGUGCUAAUACGGUAUAAGACCACAGUAUCGCAUGAUACAGGGGUAAAAGAUUUAUCGGUAUAGGAUGGGCUCGCGACCCAUUAGCUAGUUGGUGAGGUAACGGCCCACCAAGGCAACGAUGGGUAGCCGACCUGAGAGGGUGAUCGGCCACACUGGGACUGAGACACGGCCCAGACUCCUACGGGAGGCAGCAGUGGGGAAUAUUGGGCAAUGGAGGCAACUCUUACCCAGCAAUGCCGCGUGAAUGAAGAAGGUCUUCGGAUUGUAAAGUUCUUUAAUUGGGGACGAAAAAAAUGACGGUACCCAAGGAAUAAGCCCCGGCUAACUACGUGCCAGCAGCCGCGGUAAUACGUAGGGGGCAAGCGUUGUUCGGAAUGACUGGGCGUAAAGGGUGUGUAGGCGGUGUAGCAAGUUAGAAGUGAAAUACCUAGAGCUUAACUCAGGUGCUGCUUCUAAAACUGCUAUACUUGAGUGCAGUAGAGGAAAGUGGAAUUCCUAGUGUAGCGGUGGAAUGCGUAGAUAUUAGGAGGAACAUCAGUGGCGAAGGCGACUUUCUGGACUGUAACUGACGCUGAGGCACGAAAGUGUGGGGAGCAAACAGGAUUAGAUACCCUGGUAGUCCACACUGUAAACGAUGGAUACUAGGUGU